AUUUAACUCUGGCGGCAUGCCUUACACAUGCAAGUCGAACGGUAACAGGUCUUCGGAUGCUGACGAGUGGCGAACGGGUGAGUAAUACAUCGGAACGUGCCCGAUCGUGGGGGAUAACGCAGCGAAAGCUGUGCUAAUACCGCAUACGAUCUACGGAUGAAAGCGGGGGAUCGCAAGACCUCGCGCGGACGGAGCGGCCGAUGGCAGAUUAGGUAGUUGGUGGGAUAAAAGCUUACCAAGCCGACGAUCUGUAGCUGGUCUGAGAGGACGACCAGCCACACUGGGACUGAGACACGGCCCAGACUCCUACGGGAGGCAGCAGUGGGGAAUUUUGGACAAUGGGCGCAAGCCUGAUCCAGCCAUGCCGCGUGCAGGAUGAAGGCCUUCGGGUUGUAAACUGCUUUUGUACGGAACGAAAAAGCUCUCUCUAAUACAGGGGGUGAAUGACGGUACCGUAAGAAUAAGCACCGGCUAACUACGUG
RNAcentral lists this ribosomal RNA (482 nucleotides) under uncultured bacterium. RNAcentral describes it as "partial 16S ribosomal RNA". It matches the Rfam family "Bacterial small subunit ribosomal RNA", at positions 30 to 507 of the family's 1533-position model. The record is from RNAcentral.